GGUUCCAUGGUGUAAUGGUUAGCACUAGCACUCUGGACUCUGAAUCCAGCGAUCCGAGUUCAAAUCUCGGUGGAAUCU
Molecule: non-coding RNA, 78 nt
Organism: Cercocebus atys (sooty mangabey)
Lineage: Eukaryota; Metazoa; Chordata; Mammalia; Primates; Cercopithecidae
Source: the annotation of a RefSeq genome assembly